This 1351-nucleotide long non-coding RNA is filed under the name Elaeis guineensis (African oil palm). RNAcentral describes it as "long non-coding RNA (EGUI_LNC032616)". Lineage: Eukaryota; Viridiplantae; Streptophyta; Magnoliopsida; Arecales; Arecaceae. The record is from RNAcentral.
CCCACCUUCAACACAAUCCGAAGUACCUCUCCUUAUUACAGUCUCCUCAUGUUUCUGUUGUACAUGUCCAUGCCAUCUUAAUCGAUUUUCCAUUACUUUGUCCUUAUUUUAUGCAACAUCUAGAGCUCCUCUAAUAUAUUCAUUUCUCAUUUAAACUUUUUAGUUUUACCACACACACAUGAGAACAAGUUACGAACUUGGUCCAGCAUGAGCAAUAUAUGUGCGUAUAUAUAAAUAUGCAUAAAUUAAUUAAUACAGAAAGCUUUCAAGAAUUUCCUUUUAUGUUUUCCUUUAGUAGUAAUCUGAAUCUAUUUAUAAAGGGAAGUAGCCCUUUUCAGGAAAUCCUCAUCACACCACAUACAUAGAGAUCAAGAAGAGGGUUCAAUUACAAUAUAGUGAUGCAUCUAAGCUCAAUAAAAGUGCACAGGCACUCCAACAUAUAAAAAGGAUCUCUAUCAAGCAAAGAAUGCGGUAUAAGAAAAAAUAAAUAAAAUGAUCUCACAUCCCUCCAUUGAUGCCCAAAAAAGGUUGAAAAAAUAAAAUGUUUUAGCCUCCAUUUAUGCCAAAGCUCCACCCUAACAAGAAAUAUGAACCCCUCUAUUCCCAGUUUCUCACACUCCUUUAUGAACUCUUCUACUGCUCAAAUAUAGCACCAUAAAAAGGAAAGUUACAAGGCAAAAGUAACUAUUAGAAGUCACAAGCAAAAUGUAAAAGAAAAAACGUUACUAACCUAAAAUUGAAGUCAAUUGGUAGGGGAUAGCAUAGUUGGGAAAGAAUAAUAAGGAGUCGGAACUAGUGCAAAUUUUGACUUGUUCCAUGUUUUCUUAACUACUAAAAUAUAAACACAAUAACUACAAUUCUAAGUUAUUUCAAUUUUAUUUUAUUUAGAGGAUAUUGAAAUUGUAUAUUGAUCAUACAAUAUAAUUCAAGAAUUAAAAAGUAAUAAUAGUGAACCAAGAGAUAUGAAAGCAAACACUAAUAGAUGAAAGCCAGUUAAUCUAUAUAGAGUGUAAGUAAUUGGCUGCUUCUAAAAGCCAAUUAUAAUAUAUGCCAUCGACCUUCACUGUAUUAAUAAACCAAACGUAAUCUACUUAAUAAUAAUUAAUUAACCUAAAUACCUACUUAAAAGCAUUUAUUAAUUUAUAGUGAUCAAUGAUAAUCAUAAUAAGAUGUAGACAGAGAUACAUAUGUAACAUUCAAGUUCAUUUAGAAAGAAGCCAUACUACAUAUUGUCGGUGUAAAUGCCAAAUUUUAUAUCAUAAUUCAAGUGAUGAUGCUAUUGAAUAUAAGAUUAUGUAUGUAAUAAAGAUAUAAGUAAAACAACUAAUAAAAGAAAUAACUAGGCCUAGUC